GAUUAGUGCCGUUAUAAAAGAGACAUCGGAGAGAUCCUUGGCUCCCUCUGCCAUGUGAAAACACAGCAAAGGAUGACUAUCAAGGUAUAAGAAAGCAAGCCUCUGCUAGCCCCUGGUUUCCUUCUCUUCGAGGAACACAUGAUUUUCUCUUCCUGAAGCAUGGGGCCAAUAUUAUAGCUUGCCCUCCAGGGCAGGAUAAUUUGCUCAUUGUGGAUUAGUUGCCUUCAGCAGAUGAAAAAUCCUGAAAACAAUGGAAACCAAUGAGUCAGAAUGAAGGUCAAUGCCGUUGUUUUCAAUAAGCCUCAGAAAUCAAGCAUGGAAAAGAGAUUGCUGGUGAUUAUAAACCUGAUGUAAAGAGGAACUACUGAUAAGUGUAAAAAGUUUUUUGGAAGAGUGUUUCACGCUAAGGUUCUCAGAAGCUUUGAAGCCUUUCAUAGCUUUUUCUGCUUCCCAAUAUAGUGUGAUCACUAGGUAACAUGUGGAGUGACUUUUCUCAAAUCGUAGAGAAAAUCUGUGUUCCAUUAAGGAGAGACAAGGCAGGUGAAUUCUCUUCAAAGUAGGCCAUCUAAAAAGGUUGGUCAAGUUUGAAUUGGCGGGGCCAAAAAUUCAUUCUAGCCCUGAGAUUCCAAAUUAAAGUUAAGAAAAAUUAAUAAUCUGUGGCAGAAGUUCUGCAAUUUAUAGCUACUCACACAAGAGCCUGCUGAAAUACAUUACCACCCUUUAAUAUUCUGGUGAGCCCAGCAAGAAAAAUAGAGUCAACACCCACCUUGCCACAAUGGUUUAAAUAAUGUACCAGUGAACUAACAGCACAUUUUUAAUCCUACCCUUGUCUCUUAACAUGCCAAUUUUCCUCGUGUCAGUUUACAUUUAUUCAGAAAGGCAAACUCACUUUGAAAUGCACCUAAGUAUAAAGAUAAUUGCCACUUGGCCUGAGAAAUUGAAAGCAUGCCAGCCUAAAAUGCUUUUAAAGACUUCAAUCAACUUUCUCUCCCCAAAUGAAGAACUAAAAGUCAGAGGACAGACUGUAGGCUGCAGACUCCGUUCUCAACAUCGCCCAGCAACAUGUAUUUAUAUUACCAGCAUUGGUCCUCCAAAUUUGACCUGGAGUUGGCCUUUGAAUUGGUACAGGGAAGGAAAAGGACAGGGGCUGUAGAGCCCAGGAAAGCUAGAAACAAACAGUCUUCUUAAAUUACCCAGAUUUGUAACCAAGCCUAAAAUAACACAGCCCUGCCAGACUUCAGCCCUAAGAUCUGAAGCUCACUCUGAGAAAUAAUAAAACAAUACUGUUGUCUUGGC
Molecule: non-coding RNA, 1296 nt
Organism: Macaca mulatta (Rhesus monkey)
Lineage: Eukaryota; Metazoa; Chordata; Mammalia; Primates; Cercopithecidae
Source: RefSeq, a predicted model, not a curated record